CGUUUGGUCGCAAAACAACGGUAACCUAAUUUAAGGAAUUUUGGACAUUAGUGUAAAUCAUGUGGUAUAUCAUAAAUGGCAUAUAAUGUCCUUAACUUUCUUUUUAAGUUUUCUCUAAAUAGUCAAAGAAAUAUAUAUAUUUAUGUAUAUAAUAUAGUAUUUUAAGAAAUAACACACCCAAUUGUUCUCAACUAGACAAUUCCUCUGAAAGAAAACUGGUAACAC
This 225-nucleotide long non-coding RNA is filed under the name Lathyrus oleraceus (garden pea). RNAcentral's name for it is "Pisum sativum (pea) long non-coding RNA (PSAT_LNC037469)". The record is from RNAcentral. Lineage: Eukaryota; Viridiplantae; Streptophyta; Magnoliopsida; Fabales; Fabaceae.